This 497-nucleotide ribosomal RNA is filed under the name uncultured bacterium. RNAcentral's name for it is "partial 16S ribosomal RNA". It matches the Rfam family "Bacterial small subunit ribosomal RNA", at positions 28 to 507 of the family's 1533-position model. The record is from RNAcentral.
GAUGAACGCUGGCGGCGUGCCUAAUACAUGCAAGUCGAGCGAACGGACGAGAAGCUUUCUCCUCUGAUGUUAGCGGCGGACGGGUGAGUAACACGUGGAUAACCUACCUAUAAGACUGGGAUAAUUUCGGGAAACAGGAGCUAAUACCGGAUAAUAUUUUGAACCGCAUGGUUCAAAAGUGAAUGACGGUCUUGCUGUCACUUAUAGAUGGAUCCGCGUUGCAUUAGCUAGUUGGUAAGGUAACGGCUUACCAAGGCAACGAUGCAUAGCCGACCUGAGAGGGUGAUCGGCCACACUGGAACUGAGACACGGUCCAGACUCCUACGGGAGGCAGCAGUAGGGAAUCUUCCGCAAUGGGCGAAAGCCUGACGCAGCAACGCCGCGUGAGUGAUGAAGGUCUUCGGAUCGUAAAACUCUGUUAUUAGGGAAGAACAUAUGUGUAAGUAACUGUGCACAUCUUGACGGUACCUAAUCAGAAAGCCACGGCUAACUACGUG